AGCAUGGGUGGCAGAGACCUCAUGUGGCUUGGAGGGAAUCUUUAUUUCUCAAGGGGAUAAAAAUAAAAUUGCAGCUUAAUUUGUUACUGUGAUAU
Molecule: long non-coding RNA, 95 nt
Organism: Phyllostomus discolor (pale spear-nosed bat)
Lineage: Eukaryota; Metazoa; Chordata; Mammalia; Chiroptera; Phyllostomidae
Exons: 3
Source: RefSeq, a predicted model, not a curated record